RNAcentral lists this ribosomal RNA (464 nucleotides) under Vreelandella stevensii. Its description in RNAcentral is "partial 16S ribosomal RNA". It matches the Rfam family "Bacterial small subunit ribosomal RNA", at positions 339 to 795 of the family's 1533-position model. Lineage: Bacteria; Pseudomonadati; Pseudomonadota; Gammaproteobacteria; Oceanospirillales; Halomonadaceae. The record is from RNAcentral.
CUACGGGUGGCUGCAGUGGGGAAUAUUGGACAAUGGGCGAAAGCCUGAUCCAGCCAUGCCGCGUGUGUGAAGAAGGCCUUCGGGUUGUAAAGCACUUUCAGUGGGGAAGAAAGCCUUGGGGCUAAUACCCUCGAGGAAGGACAUCACCCACAGAAGAAGCACCGGCUAACUCCGUGCCAGCAGCCGCGGUAAUACGGAGGGUGCGAGCGUUAAUCGGAAUUACUGGGCGUAAAGCGCGCGUAGGCGGUCUGAUAAGCCGGUUGUGAAAGCCCCGGGCUCAACCUGGGAACGGCAUCCGGAACUGUCAGGCUAGAGUGCAGGAGAGGAAGGUAGAAUUCCCGGUGUAGCGGUGAAAUGCGUAGAGAUCGGGAGGAAUACCAGUGGCGAAGGCGGCCUUCUGGACUGACACUGACGCUGAGGUGCGAAAGCGUGGGUAGCGAACAGGAUUAGAUACCCCGGUAGUC